GAUGAACGCUAGCGGCAGGCUUAACACAUGCAAGUCGAGGGGGCAGCAUGAGACGGAGAUUCGUCGAAGUCUUGAUGGCGACCGGCGCAAGGGUGCGUAACGCGUGAGCAACUUGCCCGUUUCUGGGGAAUAACCGGUGGAAACGCCGACUAAUACCCCAUAGUAUCAGAUUUAGGCAUCUUUAUCUGAUUAGCUAGUUGUUGGGUAAAGGCCUACCAAGGCGACGAUCAGUAGCGGGUCUGAGAGGAUGAUCCGCCACACUGGGACUGAGACACGGCCCAG
This 282-nucleotide ribosomal RNA is filed under the name uncultured bacterium. Its description in RNAcentral is "partial 16S ribosomal RNA". It matches the Rfam family "Bacterial small subunit ribosomal RNA", at positions 28 to 334 of the family's 1533-position model. The record is from RNAcentral.